AUUGAACGCUGGCGGCAGGCCUAACACAUGCAAGUCGAGCGGAUGAAGGGAGCUUGCUCCUGGAUUCAGCGGCGGACGGGUGAGUAAUGCCUAGGAAUCUGCCUGGUAGUGGCGGAUAACGUCCGGAAACGGGCGCUAAUACCGCAUACGUCCUGAGGGAGAAAGUGGGGGAUCUUCGGACCUCACGCUAUCAGAUGAGCCUAGGUCGGAUUAGCUAGUUGGUGGGGUAAAGGCCUACCAAGGCGACGAUCCGUAACUGGUCUGAGAGGAUGAUCAGUCACACUGGAACUGAGACACGGUCCAGACUCCUACGGGAGGCAGCAGUGGGGAAUAUUGGACAAAGGGCGAAAGCCUGAUCCAGCCAUGCCGCGUGUGUGAAGAAGGUCUUCGGAUUGUAAAGCACUUUAAGUUGGGAGGAAGGGCAGUAAGUUAAUACCUUGCUGUUUUGACGUUACCAACAGAAUAAGCACCGGCUAACUUCGUG
RNAcentral lists this ribosomal RNA (484 nucleotides) under uncultured bacterium. Its description in RNAcentral is "partial 16S ribosomal RNA". It matches the Rfam family "Bacterial small subunit ribosomal RNA", at positions 30 to 507 of the family's 1533-position model. The record is from RNAcentral.